CUAUUUGUAGAAACCUACUAAUGUCUUAUAUCACUACUCAAGCGGCUGCAGAGGCAUUGAUACUAUCAACUGGAUUGUCCUUUUGAAUCUUCUUAUUAUAUUAUAUAGAUGCAAAUUUUCUCAUGGUACAUGGUGAAAGAAAUUAGCAUUUAUCAGCCCUAUUUGUGCAACAUAGAAUUGCCAAGAGAUGUUAGGCAUUCCUUCUUAAGUGAGUCUAGCUGGCACUAAUUAAGGAUCAGAUGAAGCAAUAUCACAUACUAGGGAAUAUUUAGACAUUAUGUAAUGUUUUGUAUGUUUAGCCACUCUACUAAUGUUUAUGUUUUAGUUUUUGAAUGUUUGAGCUACUACAUUAGUUUUUUCUUUGGAGUUUCAAGUACUUGAAUUGAAUUUUUGAUGUA
Long non-coding RNA from Trifolium pratense (red clover), 398 nucleotides. RefSeq lists it as uncharacterized. The transcript has 3 exons. NCBI's taxonomy places the organism in Eukaryota, Viridiplantae, Streptophyta, Magnoliopsida, Fabales, Fabaceae. The record is from RefSeq and is a predicted model, not a curated record.